Small nucleolar RNA from Salvia miltiorrhiza (redroot sage), 107 nucleotides. NCBI's taxonomy places the organism in Eukaryota, Viridiplantae, Streptophyta, Magnoliopsida, Lamiales, Lamiaceae. The record is from RefSeq and is a predicted model, not a curated record.
AAACCAUGUUGGGGGCAUCGUUUGAGAAAUUCCCGAAAUCUCUUCUAGGCAUCAUGAAUAGUCUCAUCCCCCAGCUGAGUAAAAUGUGAGAUCUCUGCUAUGAUCUU